CGCGUAGGCGGUCGGUCAAGUCGGUUGUGAAAGCCCUCGGCUCAACCGAGGAACUGCAUCCGAUACUGAUCGGCUAGAGUAUGGAAGGGGAGAGUGGAACUCCUGGUGGAGCGGUGAAAUGCGUAGAUAUCAGGAGGAACGCCGGUGGCGAAAGCGACUCUCUGGUCCACAACUGACGCUGAGGCGCGAAAGCCAGGGGAGCAAACG
This 207-nucleotide ribosomal RNA is filed under the name uncultured bacterium. RNAcentral's name for it is "partial 16S ribosomal RNA". It matches the Rfam family "Bacterial small subunit ribosomal RNA", at positions 568 to 774 of the family's 1533-position model. The record is from RNAcentral.